RNAcentral lists this ribosomal RNA (253 nucleotides) under uncultured bacterium. RNAcentral describes it as "partial 16S ribosomal RNA". It matches the Rfam family "Bacterial small subunit ribosomal RNA", at positions 524 to 776 of the family's 1533-position model. The record is from RNAcentral.
UACGGAGGGUGCGAGCGUUGUCCGGAAUCAUUGGGCGUAAAGCGCGUGUAGGCGGUCCGGUAAGUCCGCUGUGAAAGUCGGGGGCUCAACCCUCGGAUGCCGGUGGAUACUGUCGGGCUUGAGUACGGAAGAGGCGAGUGGAAUUCCUGGUGUAGCGGUGAAAUGCGCAGAUAUUAGGAGGAACACCAAUUGCGAAGGCAGCUCGCUGGGACGUUACUGACGCUGAGACGCGAAAGCGUGGGGAGCAAACAGG